This is a long non-coding RNA of Ictalurus punctatus (channel catfish), 2807 nucleotides long. The record is from Ensembl. Lineage: Eukaryota; Metazoa; Chordata; Actinopteri; Siluriformes; Ictaluridae.
CCGGCCAACAUGGUGGAGGUGGCACCGACCUGUAUGGCUGAGGGGUGGUGGAAAGAGGCUCCGCUGCGGUGUUCUAUAUGCACAUAACUAGGUAUCCAGGAAUCAUUUUUCUGCUCUCAGCAAUGCUUCGAGAGCAGUUGGCGUAAACACAGAUGGCUACAUAAGAAAGCAUCUGCAGAGCUCCAGCCCGAAGUCAAUGUGGUUACCUCAGAACCAGAGCUUGAACCUGAGACCCAUGAGGUGGUCUCACCUGCCGAGCAUCAGCCAGAGGUCAACACGGUGACCUCAGAGCUCCAGCUCGAGACCCACGAUGUGGUCUCGCAUGCUGAGCUCCAGCCAGAGGUCAAUGUGGCAACCUCCGAGUUCCAGUCAGAGGUCAACGUGGUGACCUCAGAGCUCCAGCUUGAGACCCACGAGGAGGUCUCAGCACUUGAACUACAGUCAGAGGUCAAUGUGGUGACCUCAGAGCUACAGCUUGAGACCCACAAGGAGGUCUCACCUGCCAAGCUCCAACCAGAGGUCAAUGUGGUAACCUCAGAGCUCCAGCUUGAGACCCACGAGGAGGUCUCAGCACCUGAGCUCCAGCCAGAGAUCCAUGAGGAGGUCUUACAAGCUGAGCACCAGCCAGAGGUCAACAUGGUGACCUCAGGGCUCCAGCCAGGGGUCAACAUAAUGAUCUCAGAGCUUCAGCCAGAGGUCACCAUGGUGACCUCAGCCCCAGAGUUUCAGCCUGAGAACCAUGAGGGGGUCUCAGCCCUAAAAUUCCAAUGUAAUGCCAAGUUCCUUUCCCAGGUCAAAGAGACGGCCAAGCUCUGCUCAUGCCAAGUUCCUGUCCCAGGUCGAAGAGAUGGCCUCCCAAGACACAUUACAUUACACCCAAAUCUGCUGACACAGACAACCAGGUUCUGCUCACGCCCGAGUCUGCUGACACGGGUAGCCAAGUUCUGCUCACAACUAAGUCUGUAGAUACGACCAACGAAGUCCUGCUCACGCCGACAUCUGCUGACACAGCCAACCAAAUUCAGCCUGCAGAGUCCACUGAGGACGUCGUGCUUUCCUGCUCCGCUGAGGACGUCGCUUUGCUUUCCUGCUCCGCUGAGGACAUCGCUCUGCUUUCCUGCUCCGCUCAUGGCGUCGCUCUGUUUUUCUGUUCUGCUGAGUACAUUGUUUUGCUUUUUGGUUCUGCUGAGGACGUCGCUUUGCUUUUCUGUUCCACUGAGGAUGCUGUGCAGUCUCCUGGUUCAGCUGGGGACAUUUUGCCCAGGGGGCCAGGACUGCCAUUGGAGAGGACUAUUUUGAGGUGCUCCGGGAGGUGUGCCCUUGUGGGGGUUUAUGUCACGAUCUCCCCUUCUGGCAGCGCGCUCGGAGAGAUGAGAGGGCGCACGCAUGCACGAUCUACAUGCACGAGUGCUCAGCAAGUGCAUGCUCUUCGGAUGUUGACAACUGUGACAUUGUUUACUGUGGACAUGUGCAUUUGUUUUGUUUCUGUUCUGUCUCCUCCCUGUUCUGUCAUUGGCUUAUAUACCGUGCGCCUCCCAGUACAUGGGCGGAGUAUUAGAUAUAGUUAGUAUAGUUAGAUAUGCUGUUUAAUUACCUUGAUAGAUUGAGCUAGUUUACACUUUAGAUUAGUUCAUUAGUCCACACUGGUUUUUCGGCUCCCAGUUUAUAGUACUAGUUAAUGUCCUUACCUGCACCUGCUUCCGUACUCUACACGUCUCAUGACGUGACAGGAUGCAGCAGGAAAGCAGAGGGGAUUUCACUCCAGGGAGAAUUUCCCCAGUGGACUCACCUGGAUGUUCUGGCUCCCUUAGAGGGCUUUGAAAGAUUUAUGAAUAGAUUUUUUUCUAAAGUGCCACAUUUAUUUUGAGAGCCUGUUAAACCCCAAGCCCAAAGAAAAGCAGUAGCUGGGGUUCAUGUUGUCCUGUUUCAUGGGCACAGCCCACCAGUGGGCGGGCUCCUAAUUGCACGGGCAACUUCAGCCUGGGUAGCAUGGUUGAGUUCUUGUGCCUCAUGAGGUUAAUUUUUGAUAACGCAGACUUUCAGUUUGAUUUGGAGGAAGUUAUGGGGAGGGCCAGGUGGUCUCUCCUGUAGCACUACAGCCAGAGGUCAAUAUGGUGACCUCAUCUCCAGAUCUCCAGCCUGAGACCCAUGAGUUAGUUUCUCCUGCCAAGCUCCAACCAGAGGUCAAUGUGGCAACCUCAACUCUAGACCCUGUUGGCCUGAGGCUGACAAGACAGCCUCCCAAGCCAGGCAUAAGAUCUUUCCCAACCCAUCCUCCCCUACUGCGGAUCUCAGUCAGCAUCCCUGUUCAAUUGAGGAUGCCGCUCAGCCUCCCUGUUCAGCUGAAGGUGUUGCUCCACCUCCCGGGUUCAACUAAGACUCCGCUUCACCUCUCUGUUCUGCCUCGGAUUUGACUAAACCAGGCUGAUCUUCAGAUAUCGCUCUGCCUUCUUGCUCAGCUGAGGACAUAGCUCCGCCAACCUGCUCGGCUGAGGACGUUGCUCUGCCAUCCUGCUACUUUGAGGUUGUCAUUCUGCCUCCAUGCUCCUCUGAAGACAUCACUCUUUUUCUCUGCUUUGCACCAUGUGUCGGUCCCCCUUCUUGCUCCAUGGAGGACAUUGCUCCCCCUCUGGCCGCAUGGAGAACUUUGCUCCCCCUCUGACCUCAGAUUUUAAUGUAAACAAUUAUAUUACAUAUCAUUUUACGUCAGAGAAUGUGAAACAUGUCAGAGUAUUUAAUGCAUAACGUGAAAAUGUCAUACUGGAGCACGUCAUGCAAUUGAUUGUCAGAGCACAUUUGAUGAAAAC